GUGAAUCAUCGAGUCUUUGAACGCACAUUGCGCCCCCUGGUAUUCCGGGGGGCAUGCCUGUCCGAGCGUCAUUGCAACCCUCAAGCGCGGCUUGUGUGUUGGGCCGUCGUCCCCCCUCGACCGGCGGGACGUGCCCGAAAUGCAGUGGCGGUGUCGAGUUCCGGUGCCCGAGCGUAUGGGGCUUUGCCACCCGCUCUGGAGGCCCGGCCGGCUCCGGCCCACCAUGUCAACCCCCCUCUCACACCAGGUUGACCUCGGAUCAGGUAGGGAUACCCGCUGAACUUAAGCAUAA
Molecule: unclassified non-coding RNA, 292 nt
Filed under: Histoplasma capsulatum
Lineage: Eukaryota; Fungi; Ascomycota; Eurotiomycetes; Onygenales; Ajellomycetaceae
Description: sequence contains 5.8S rRNA gene, ITS2
Rfam family: 5.8S ribosomal RNA (bases 1-71)
Source: RNAcentral